AGCAGCCGCGGUAAUUCCAGCUCCAAUAGCGUAUAUUAAAGUUGUUGCAGUUAAAAAGCUCGUAGUUGAAUUUCGGGACCAAUUUGUUGGUCGUGCCUCGGUACGUACUGGUAUUAUUGGUUUCUCCCUUCUGAAGAACCUUGAUGUCAUUAAUUUGGUGUCUUGGGGAAUCAGGACUGUUACUUUGAAAAAAUUAGAGUGUUUAAAGCAAGCAUACGCUUGAAUACAUUAGCAUGGAAUAAUGAAAUAGGACGUUUGAUUCUAUUUUGUUGGUUUCUAGGAUCGACGUAAUGAUUAAUAGGGAUAGUUGGGGGCAUUAGUAUUCAAUUGUCAGAGGUGAAAUUCUUGGAUUUAUUGAAGACUAACUACUGCGAAAGCAUUUGCCAAGGAUGUUUUCAUUAAUCAAGAACGAAAGUUAGGGGAUCGAAGACGAUCAGAUACCGUCGUAGUCUUAACCAUAAACUAUGCCGACUAGGGACCGGAUGAUGUAAUUUUUAAUGACUCAUUUCGGCGCCUUACG
Molecule: ribosomal RNA, 520 nt
Filed under: uncultured Glomus
Lineage: Eukaryota; Fungi; Glomeromycota; Glomeromycetes; Glomerales; Glomeraceae
Description: SSU rRNA
Rfam family: Eukaryotic small subunit ribosomal RNA
Source: RNAcentral